GGGUAACCUCGCCUGUAAUGACUGGGAUAACUCCGGGAAACCGGAGCUAAUACCGGAUAGUUCCUUCGAACCGCAUGGUUCAAGGAUGAAAGACGGUUUCGGCUGUCACUUACAGAUGGACGCCGCGGCGCAUUAGCGUAGUUGGUGAGGUAACGGCUCACCAAGGCGACGAUGCGCUAGCCGACCUCGUAGAGGGUCGCAUCGCGCGCACACUGGCGACUCGAGACACGGCCCAGACUCCUACGGGAGGCAGCAGUAGGGAAUCUUCCGCAAUGGACGAAAGUCUGACGGAGCAACGCCGCGUGAGUGAUGAAGGUUUUCGGAUCGUAAAGCUCUGUUGUUAGGGAAGAACAAGUGCAAGAGUAACUGCUUGCACCUUGACGGUACCUAACCAGAAAGCCACGGCUAACUACGUGCCAGCAGCCGCGCGUAAUACGUAGGUGGCAAGCGUUGUCCGGAAUUAUUGGGCGUAAAGGGCUCGCAGGCGGUUUCUUAAGUCUGAUGUGAAAGCCCCCGGCUCAACCGGGGAGGGUCAUUGGAAACUGGGAAACUUGAGUGCAGAAGAGGAGAGUGGAAUUCCACGUGUAGCGGUGAAAUGCGUAGAGAUGUGGAGGAACACCAGUGGCGAAGGCGACUCUCUGGUCUGUAACUGACGCUGAGGAGCGAAAGCGUGGGGAGCGAACAGGAUUAGAUACCCUGGUAGUCCACGCCGUAAACGAUGAGUGCUAAGUGUUAGGGGGUUUCCGCCCCUUAGUGCUGCAGCUAACGCAUUAAGCACUCCGCCUUGGGGAGUACGGUCGCAAGACUGAAACUCAUAGGAAUUGACCGGGGGCCGCA
RNAcentral lists this ribosomal RNA (837 nucleotides) under Bacillus sp. (in: firmicutes). RNAcentral's name for it is "bacterial SSU rRNA". It matches the Rfam family "Bacterial small subunit ribosomal RNA", at positions 119 to 925 of the family's 1533-position model. Lineage: Bacteria; Bacillati; Bacillota; Bacilli; Caryophanales; Bacillaceae. The record is from RNAcentral.